UCAAAUGUUCUUCGUGAACAUGGCGAACUGCUCAGUAACACGUGGAUAACCUGCCCUUAGGAUUGGCAUAACACCGGGAAACUGGUGAUAAUACCGAAUAGACCAUUUAUGCUGGAAUGCUUUUUGGUUCAAAGGCUUCGGCUGCCUAGGGAUGGAUCUGCGGCCUAUCAGGUAGUAGUGGGUGUAAUGUACCUACUAGCCUACGACGGGUACGGGUUGUGAGAGCAAGAGCCCGGAGAUGGAUUCUGAGACAUGAAUCCAGGCCCUACGGGGCGCAGCAGGCGCGAAAACUUUACAAUGCGGGAAACCGCGAUAAGGGGACACUGAGUGCCAGCAUAUUAUGUUGGCUGUCCACAUGUAUAAAAACCAUGUGUUAGCAAGGGCCGGGCAAGACCGGUGCCAGCCGCCGCGGUAACACCGGCGGCCCGAGUGGUGAUCACUUUUAUUGGGUCUAAAGGGUCCGUAGCCGGUUUGAUCAGUCUUCUGGGAAAUCUGACAGCUCAACUGUUAGGCUUUCAGGGGAUACUGUUAGACUUGGGACCGGGAGAGGUAAGAGGUACUACAGGGGUAGGAGUGAAAUCUUGUAAUCCCUGUGGGACCACCAGUGGCGAAGGCGUCUUACCAGAACGGGUCCGACGGUGAGGGACGAAAGCUGGGGGCACGAACCGGAUUAGAUACCCGGGUAGUCCUAGCUGUAAACGAUGCUCGCUAGGUGUCAGACACGGUGCGACCGUGUUUGGUGCCGCAGGGAAGCCGUUAA
Molecule: ribosomal RNA, 760 nt
Filed under: uncultured archaeon
Lineage: Archaea
Description: bacterial SSU rRNA
Rfam family: Archaeal small subunit ribosomal RNA
Source: RNAcentral